This 464-nucleotide ribosomal RNA is filed under the name uncultured bacterium. RNAcentral describes it as "partial 16S ribosomal RNA". It matches the Rfam family "Bacterial small subunit ribosomal RNA", at positions 339 to 795 of the family's 1533-position model. The record is from RNAcentral.
CUACGGGCCGCAGCAGUGGGGAAUAUUGCACAAUGGGCGCAAGCCUGAUGCAGCCAUGCCGCGUGUAUGAAGAAGGCCUUCGGGUUGUAAAGUACUUUUAGCGGGGAGGAAGGGAGUAAAGUUAAUACCUUUGCUCAUUGACGUUACCCGCAGAAGAAGCACCGGCUAACUCCGUGCCAGCAGCCGCGGUAAUACGGAGGGUGCAAGCGUUAAUCGGAAUUACUGGGCGUAAAGCGCACGCAGGCGGUUUGUUAAGUCAGAUGUGAAAUCCCCGGGCUCAACCUGGGAACUGCAUCUGAUACUGGCAAGCUUGAGUCUCGUAGAGGGGGGUAGAAUUCCAGGUGUAGCGGUGAAAUGCGUAGAGAUCUGGAGGAAUACCGGUGGCGAAGGCGGCCCCCUGGACGAAGACUGACGCUCAGGUGCGAAAGCGUGGGGAGCAAACAGGAUUAGAUACCCGAGUAGUC